Molecule: long non-coding RNA, 150 nt
Organism: Lampris incognitus (smalleye Pacific opah)
Lineage: Eukaryota; Metazoa; Chordata; Actinopteri; Lampriformes; Lampridae
Exons: 3
Source: RefSeq, a predicted model, not a curated record
GAGUGAUGCUGCGUCUCCCAGAGGCUGUAGACCGUGCUAAGGCUGUUGUCGAAGAGAUUAAAGUUAAAAGCGCUGAGCUGGGAAAAGUACAGCAAUCGAGUCGUGAGCUCAUGGAGAAGAUAUCAGAGGAGGAGUCGCAGCAGGUGCAGG